GAGCGCCCAACCAGCGGCGGCCCACACCGCCGCCCGCCCGCCGGCGCAGCGCCGCGCCGCGCCCGGGGCCGCUACACCUGGGCCCAGGCGGAGGGGGGCCGGGCCGUGACUGCGACACCGUCCCGCGGGAGGGGGCUGUGGGGAAAGGCGGCGGGGUGGGGUGCUUCCAGCCCGGCGUCCGCCUGCCUGAGGGCCGUCCCAGCCGCCGGCCAUCGCCCUCCGAACGGCCGUCCCAAGCGCCGCACCUGAGCGCGCCGUCCCGGCCGGCGAGCGGCCGGAGCGCUGGGAAUCUUCUGGGAAAGAAAAGCAGCAUUGGACAAACUUUAAAAUAAUUUUAAACCUCAGUGUCUAUGAAGGUGUAACUGACCCAGGUACUCUUAAGCCUAAAUCCAGGAGCAAAAUGGAGUUUUUCUAAACUGGUUAUCCCUUUCAGCUCAAGCUCAGGUGGGGAUGGAUACUGGAAUUAGCAAUGGUGAGUUUAUUUCCUCCAUAGGAGACAGAAAGAGAACAAAAGAGAUUUGAUGGGGAGUUGGGAUACAAGAUGAAAACCAGGAUUGUCUGGAUGAAGAGAUCAGAUGUUGCAAAGAGAGGUGAGGAUACUGAAGAGUGCCAUGAAGUCUGCACCUGACCUUUUUGCAAAAGUAAGGGUCUGGCAGAAACCACUCUCUGAUCAUGUAAUUAGGAAUUGUAUCAUAAUCUGAAAAAAAAAGGUGUAUCAAAUUCUUUUUGCAGAUGAGAAUUUAGUUGUCAUUUCCUAACUGUGUAGUUCAGUUUGCAACCACAGUGAUGUUCUAUUAAUGUAGUUUUUGCGUGUAAGGCUGGGUAUUACAGAAAAAGAAUGGAGAAGAUGGGGUCUUAAUGAAGUUUUUGUUGCUUCAAGCUUAUACUGACUGCAUUACUCACAAGUACCUAUAUGAACAGGAAGCUUUUUUUCCUAGUUUCUUUCUAGUGAUGGCAUUUAUAGAAAAAAAAAACAACAAACAAACUAAUAGGCACAAAUAAGAGUUAGAUGCCCAGAUGUGUUUUAUGCAAUUGAAGGUCUCAGAAUGUUGACACCCCAAAACAUUUAUGUUUGUGUCGCCUACAUUUAGAAUAGGAUUCUGCCAUCAGAUUUGCGGUUUGCUCCCUGAAAUAAUGCUCACAACAGGUAUUCUCCCUUCUGGGCAUUUUUUAAGAAACUGAGGCACUAAUGAAUUACAUUUUUUGAAGAAUUUUCUGACAGCGUCAGUGUAACAGGGCACGAACAGGAAGACGAUUCUAUCCACCAGCAUGUACAUGGUAAAGGCUUAGAUGCAAGUGACACCUGCAUGACAAAUUGGGUGAUAGAAGAUACAGCUGUCAUUGCUUGAUUUCCAUCCAUCUGCCCCAUUACCUCAGUAGAUCAAUUGUUUUAUAUACUAGUAAUCACAUGCACAUGAUUCUUUUGAUAAUCUCUCUCACUACUGUUGAGCAGAUUUACACUCACAACAGAGAAAGUUGUAGCCUACCCUUCCUGCAGUAACUUGUAGCAGAAUGUUUAUUUAACUAACUUCAGGUGAUAAAAUGUCAAAUCCAGCAGAGGUGCAAGCAGAGCAUACUGUCUUAAGACAUUAAAAGGCUGAUUUGAAGAAGGAAUUGCACCAGCUGAAUUAAUAUUAUGUUCCAGUCGAUUUUCUAGACCUGUGUUCCUUCUGCUAGGAAGGGAGGUAGCCUUUGGGAAAAUACUAAUUUUCAGUUUCCUCUGCUGCAAAGAAUAGUCUCAGAAGAAGGACAUGCUUGAAACCAGUUGUCACAAAAUGUUUGGGUUGGACAGAGAGCCUGAGAUUUCACAAAUACGCCUCAGAUAUGCAGGGCAACGGAGUUUCAGCAUAGUGUAUGUCUCUGGUAUAACUGACACUUAACAUGCUACUUUGAAGGCAUCCUUUGCAGGAAAUUUCAGUAGACCCAGCAUCCAGCCUGUCCACAGAGUAGUUGUGCAGUUCUGCACCAAGUCUAGGGAGAAAGUGGCAAUUUCUACCCUAGAAUCUUAGCAUAUAUUGGACUGAUUAACAUCCUUUGAAUGACAGGAUUACACAUGGUCAUUAGCCCCACAACUCUCUACUUCCCAAUUAAUUUUGGUGCAAAAAUAUAGAUACCUUUUAUUUUUUUGUAUUUUCCUCUUCCCUUAUUUUUGUAAACAAAGGUCUAAAAAUCAGAAUGUUUGGAGACCCUGGGGCAUCUGCCUUUCUCUGGAGACUGAAGAUGGUUAUCUCAAAAUGAUGUAUUAGCUUCUUAGCAGGCUGCUAUCUCUAGGAGUCUGAAAGCAAUAUCCAUGCUUCUAUUAGGUGUGUGUCAUUUCACCAGGGAUAGAAAGAUAUGGACCUAUUUUCUAAAAUUGCAUGAAGUGGGAAGAGUAAAUGCAGGAGGACAAGUAGUUAAUAGAAAUUACUAAGAAAUACAAUACUAAAAAUAUCCUGUCUGUUUUAAUUAAAAGUAAACCGUCCCCACCAGUUUAAAUUACACGUACUCCCCUCUGAGCGGGAAAGAGAAAAAAGAAAUUUCCAUCUCCAGCUUUUGAAACUUCAUCUGUCUCCUGGGUACUGAGCACCAAAUCUUCAGCUGGCAGAUGUCAGCAGACAGUGCUGAAACUUUACCAUAUUUCUGAAGGAUCCAUCCGACACCAGGCUGCCAGCUUAAGUGUCAAAAUCCCAAAUACUCUCAGCGCUACUUGAGGGCAAUCACAAGAAUUGCCUGGGGACCUUGCACAAUGUUGUCAGCCUGACAAGGCUAAGAUGGGUAGCAGAGCAAACCAUUCUGCAGGUGGGUAGAGCAUACACUUCAUUCCUUAGCCUCUUCCUGUAGCUACUAUGGCUGUUACCAGCUCUGCCUCCAGUACUGCUGCUCAAACCUAUUGCUUUCCUGAGACCUAGACAUUCGUUCAUGAUGAACCACAUCAGCAGUACACUGGCUCUUUAAACCUGGGGAAGACAGUGUCAAAGCAAACCAGACACCAUAAAUAAUGUUACAGAGUAGACUUGGAGGGGGCAGUGAGCAAAGAGGAAGGAACCAAAGAGUGGAUCAUGGACUUACAAAGUUUAGGUGAAAUGAACGCGCCAGUACACCAGGCUGGAAUGUAACUGGUGGAAAUGUGGGCACAAAUAUCUUUUUGUCUGGUUAAGUCUGUUGAUGAGAAAAAUUACAUAGCUUCUAAUUGGCAUGCAUGUUAAAAACUAUGCCCCAAACAAGUGGAAAUUAGAUAAGAUUCUGAACAUGCUGUAUAACAGGAGUCCAAAUAAACAGGGCUCAGAGGGAGAGGAAAUUACAAGUGAAUUUUAGCAGUCGCUGCAAAUUAUCUCAAAUAAGUUCUUUAUAUUUAUGUGCUUCUGUGAUGUCAAGCUGCAGGAGCUCAGGAAUUUUCCAGAGCUUGUUGCAAGUGCUGUGGCUCGGUGGAGGUCUGAGGCUCUUUGGGACAAGAUUGAAGAUCCCAUCUCUAGCCUCAAUGAGUCACUAACAACUAUGGGUGCUGAGACCACAACUAUGAAAAAGCUGUACAGACAUGCUAAACACUGCAUGCUGCCCAUUAUCCCAGAGAAAUCAAGAAGGCUUUUAUAGGAACAUGUAAACCUUUGCAGCAGACCAGCCCCAGGUGUGGACCAGGUAAGCUGUGGUCCAGCAAGCUGCUUUGUCUAUGCCAGGGCCAUGGAAAACCAGGUUGGCUGCUGUGACUGCGGUUGUCACCACCCAGGGAACAGGCAGGUUGUCUGGUGUUAUGUCCACCGCUGCAUUUUAGAGGCCUCUCCAGCAGUGCUGUCUCCAGCCACAGGCUACCCACCCUCUCAGAGUUGCUGAAGGUGUGCAGCAGCCUGUCUCCCUCCAUUUCUUUUCCCAUAGCAACAGCAGCCCCAUCCUUAGUCACCCUGCUUUGAGGCAGAAACAUUGCGUUUUGCAUGUGUUGUGAGAAGUGUUGAGAUGGCUCUGCAUUGCAGGACUGGGGCUUACAUGUAUACCAGAAAACCCCUCUGAAUUAGUUAUAAAAGUUGAUGUGCCCUGUUUACCUCUUUGGGAGGUUUUGACAAAUGAACAACAAAAAAGGCAGCUUCUUAAGAGUUUUUGAAUGGUGGAAGGUGACCCAGUCUGGGACAACACGGGAACAGAAGGCGAGUGAAAAUCAAAUGUGCAUGAACCAUUUAUCAUCAUUAGAGAUUACUAGGUAGGAUCGCUACGUAUAUUUGAACACCUAAAUGCUUUUUUUUUAAUUCUAGGGAAAGCCUACUACAUUUUUCUCUAUCAAGAAAUGCUACCUAAAGGUAUUACUCUCAGUAGUUCUGGGUGAGAGAUAAGUAAUUUCAUACAGUGCUAUUCACAUUCCAUACAACUAAACUCACCACCUUUCUAAAAGCAACAGUCAAAACAACCCUCCCUCCGAAGUACACAGAUCCAUAAAUUGUUUAAAACCUUAUCUCACAUUCACUUACACACAAAAUAAGGGUCUCCCUAUGUUCUAAACUGUGAGAUUUGGUGAAUGAAUGAUGCAGAAUCCCCUCCUAGAAUUGCAGGGUCUAUACGUCUCAUGAGGCACUGAAUCUCUCCACUGAUUUUGGCAAGAAUCUGCUCUAUUCCCCUACCCUUCCCAGUUCCUUUAUUUGAAAAACAAAAAAAAUUAAACAGCCUGAAUCAAUUAUCACAUAAGUAAUUGUUUCAGAGAGAACCAAAAGAUGCAGUAGUAAAGAAGAACUAGUUAGGUGGAAUCUGCUACUGGUGUUAUGAAAACAUUGCUUUGGGAAAUAAGUUCCUAAGUAGUAAUCUGUGAUACAGAAUUAGUUUUUCGGUUUGAUGCAUGUUCUCUUCAGAGGGGAAAAAGAAAUCAGCCUGAUUUCUCUACUUUCGUAGUUACAAGAACCUCUUUUCUGAAUUUGUGAUCUGUUCAUUUCACAUGUUUCCAGAUUCCCUUGAUCUGUUAAAGCAGUAAUUCAGGGGUGGAAGUAGAAAUACGUGGGCAGCGGGAGGGAGUAAAAGGUAACCAGGACGAAGAACAAUUGUGUGAUGCACAAUCAAGGUACUGAAGAACUUUUUUGCUUAUUUCUUGUUUUUUUCUUUUUCCCUUUGUGGCUUGCGUUGGUGAGAUUUACAGUCUAAAAGCUUUAACUCACUGUUAAUACUGAUUCUUGUCUGGGAAUAUAUGCAUUUAAAUGCUCAUACUGUUGUAGGCACUGAAAUUCAGCAACACUUUUUUACACUGCUAUUCUACAAAAAGCAUAGGGAAUGCCCGUAAGAGGAUCUUUUCCUUUAGCAAAAAGACACAACCUGAUUAGAACAUUAUGUAAUCUUUAAUACGUUUUUCGUAUCUUUGGUGUCUAACUCGGAACUCAACUCCUCAGAUACUGGUGGUAACAGCAAGUGGGAAAACAUAAAAUUUCCGGCCUGAUGACUUUUUCAUGGGUUGUCCAGAACCGAUGGGUAUUGCUAGAUGAGAAGGAGCACAUGUGAGGGAAAGAAGGAUGGCGGCCAACAGUAAGAGUCACUGUUGUACCUUCCUCUACCGCUAUGUCAAGAAGCCAGCGCUCCACCCGUAAGCAGGGAUGGGUUGGUGGAAGGUUAGGAACACUGGCCUCCAGAGGAGGUUGGGAAUUUCUGAGCAGGAAGAUGAUCUUUGAAUGCAAAUCCCCACAAGUGAGUAAAUAAAAAUAAGCAUUAAGAAUGUGUGAGGGGAAAAAAAAAAUGGAGGGCAGGGGAGAGGGGUAUGGCAGGGAGAAGAUACUGCAGCAUGGUGAAAGAAAAGGUGGAGGUGGAUAAUGGAGCCAGAGACCUAUGCAAAAAUAAAUGCAAAGGAUGAAGGAAAAAGAGACUUUGCUGUUUCAAAGGACUGAAGGAAGUAAUUAAAAUGAAAUCUGGGAGAAAAUCGUAGAGAAGAAACAGGGAAGACUAAAAUCUGAAUUGCAGCCCACAGAUCUCCCAGUGCACUGAAUGUCUAGCUCAACAAACCUAAUCCAAUUUGUGUAACAUUCAAAAUACCUUUAGUUAAUUUUGUAACCUCCUCACUGGAAAUGCAGUACACUUUCUAUACCACUAAAGAUGUGCCUCACAAGUGGAAGUAGUGAUUAAUUUGAUGAAUAAUUAACCAUUGAGUCCAACUGUCCCAUCAGUAACCAACUUGAACGGAGAGACCGGUGAAUGUGAUGACAGGCAGUGGAACAUUAAUGAGUAAAAUAAUGAUAAUCCUAUAGAGGUUAAAUGGGAAGGACAAAACAGCUAUUUUGGCUCUUGCCCAGUCUGAGCUUGUGCACUAAAGAGGUGCAGUCAGUUGGUCUCCAAAUGUUACAGACCAAAGCAAAAGUUAAGACAAAAGGGCUGAGCCUAUCCCUGAUCUGAUCUCUUAUAAAAGGGAGAGGGCAUUUUAUCAAUAUCCACUCUGAGUACAAAUGAAUUUAAGGAAGAACUGAUAUAUUUGGUUUAUAAAUACAGUGUAGAAAACAAUCCCUAAUUUUUUAAGAGUUCCCUACAUCUUUCAAGGACUCCUGCCCCCUUUUAUUAUCCAAUAUGGAUCAUGCUGAAAAUAAAUUCGUCUAUGGAAUGCAGCAUGUCCAAUAAAUGCAUUAACAUCUUAUCCAAGGAGAUUGUUCAAGAGAUUUUUUAAAUGGUUGGUACAUUUUAUGUGCAGCAAAGGUCUUUAGAAGUGUCUCUCUAUCUUGGUUUGCUGUUAAUUUGGCAAGGACUGAAGCUCUAGGCAUCAUCACAGACUAAGGCUAUGUUAGAUGGGAUGAACCUCUGAUGAACAUUGACCACUGAGACUAAUAAUACCUAAUUAUGGCAAAUGUUUCUCCCACAUGAGCACUCACAAUUCUUCACACAACAGAUACUGAGAAUAUUCACAGCUGCUUUUGUCCCUCCUGGUAAACUGAUGAAUCUCCCACCAAAAUGCAAAUGAAAAUGCGUCCUUCAUCAUAGCACCAUGGUCUCAUCCUUUCUGCUUCCACCUUUAUUAACAGAAAGAUUGUUCAAAAAAGAAACCAACCACAUCAACAACCAAAACACCAAAGCAAAAUAACUCAGGGCAAGAACUUAGGCUCAGCUGUUGCUGGCUUUCCUUCUCCAGGAACUUUUUCCCAAAUAUUCAAAGUCUAACAGUCCACUUCUGCCUCCAGCAGGCAGCAGGAGAUUCUGGCAGGUUCCAGUCUCUGCUGUGAGUCUGGGGCAGCAAGACGUUCCUGCUCAUUUGUCAAGUUCAAUUUGAAGUUCAGCUAAAGAUUUUUGUGUUAUGAGAGUUUCACAGCCCCUUUCUGGAGAAUGCAAUGCAGAUGAAACAUUUGAAUUAGCAAAAGGAUAUUGCAGAGUCUGCAAUGCAAAAUUAUACCAGAUAAAAUUGCAGAGAGAGCAUUUUUGAGAGAAAGAGAAAUAAAUGUCGCAUUGGGGUUAGAGCCCUCAGAGAUAAAAGUUAGAAGAGGAACUCUGUGACUUCAAGGGACUUUGGAAAAUGGUAGCUUAUUCCUCAGAGAAUGCAGCAACGAACCAGCUGGUAGGGAGGGGUGAUGCCAGAUGCUACCACGUCUGCAUUGAGGUAGGAGGGGAGCAGACGAAGUAAAGGGAACGUGUUGCAGUAUAAUAGACAGCUAGAGGAAUUUUACUUCAGGAAAUAAAAGCAUAAGAAGAAAAAAAUACAGCAGUCCAGCAUACUCGGAACUGGAGGUUAAUGUGGAGCUCUAUUGUCUCCCAAAGACAGAGAUAAUUUUCUCUUAAUGAGAAUUUUAUUAUUGUUGCUCAUCUCCAUGACACAGGAGAAUCAUGGCUCUGGGUUCUCACAGAGGCAAAGUUACAGCCAACCAUUGCUCCAGGGAGUGACAGAGGAGAAAGGUUUGUAGUGCUGGUGACAAGUUUUCUGUGGAGGAUGCGGAGGGGAAAGAAAAAAAAUGCUUUGAAGAUGCCGUACACAAUCAUUUAAGUUUCAAGCUGGGACUGACGUAAAUCUCACACUGAGAAUGAAGGAUGACAGAGUUGCUGUGGGACUAGCAGCUAGCAAUGGACCACACCGUGAAGACAGUUUUUCGCUUACACAUUAACUUCACAAUAUGCAGUUUUCAGUCCUGUUGAUGUUGAUGCACCCUUAUGUUUCUAGCAGCUGCCUAUACACUGUAUGUAUUAUGGUAAAGGACUAACGAAUCAGAGAAUGCUUUCUCAUGAGACUAAGCUAAGCAAGAUGCCUGUCUGGUGGUAGCCAGCUUCUCUACUAAUAAAAAAUUCAAACCAUUACAUCUCCUUCAUUCUAGGACUGUCUCCAACACUUAGUCAGCCUCUGCCUUACAAAAGAGCUGACAGUUAGACCAAUUUUAAAGCAUACAGAUCUCCUAGUCGGGACUGCAUCUUUCCCUAAGGAAGCAGAACUGAGCUUAAAAACCAAAACAAUAUACCCUGAAACCACUAGUUUUAAGUGGAGCUUGUCACUAGACAGGUACCCAAUAAAGGAGUGUUUUAAACCACUUUUCCCUGGCAUCCCUUUCACCUAUGACUGUUGACGUGAAAAUCAGCUCACAGGAGCACUGUAAGCACAGAAGCAACAACAUCAAGCCCUGACCCCUCUUUCUGGCAAAUGCAACUGGAGGGACAGCUGAGAAUGUGCUUUGCUGGGGUAGAAGCAGCAAUACAGAAAACAUUCAUUUCCCUAGCAACUAGGACAACCUCUUCUUUAAUUAGCACAUCAUGGUCUGAACUUUGCUAAUAAAACCUGCCUACACUGCACGCUAACCAUGGGUUAGGUAAUCUUGCACUUGCCAACAUACGGCAGCCUACCACGCUUCAGCAUCCUGACAUUCUCUGCACUAGCACGCUGUUCUUAGGUCCCACAUCUGCAGGCAUGCUGUGGGUGGUGGUAAUGAAUGAUACAUCCUUGCGGUUUCUCACCCUGGACUCAUGAUCCCAUAUCCCAUCACACAUUUCUCUGGGCUGGCAGGCAUAGGGUGCUGUGGAACAGCUUCUGUGUGCUCUCUUGGGAUUUGAGAGGUUACUGUCAAUGCCAAAAGAAUUAGUUUCCUGGCUUAGCAGAUACGUUAGAGGAGUAAGAGAGCUACCUCACUGCCCAAACAGCCCCCCUUUGCCUGUCCUCCCUGCUUGCUACUCUGUGCCACCUUCUUCUGGAGCUUCAUUCCCAGCAGUAUCACCGACGACUAAUGGACUUGCGUAGGAAGUCACCAAGAUGCAGUGGCACCAGCGAUUACAGAAUACACUCUUCUAGAAGGUACAUCAUAUAGGUUUGUAGUGCGGUUGUGCUCUGCUUCUGCCCCAAUAUUACAGGGAAAUAAAUAAAAACCUGGUCAAGGGAAACUAAGUAUGUGGAUGAAAACAAGUUCUGAGAAAAAAUAAAAACAAGGGUUUACUAAACCGUCGUCACAGCUCUAACUGCAGCUCAUAUAGACCCACUGAAAUGUCUAUCAGUGUAGCAAUAGUAGUGCUAAGUCUAGAGCAGACAGUAAAACUGGUCUGAGAUACUACAUGCUCAAAUAUUUAUUCUGGGCUGAGUUCUGUACUGCUGUGAGUAUUGGAGAGGUAGAGUCCAAAGCUAGCAUGGGUAUGCCUGUAUGAAAUCCUACCACUCCAGUGGAGCAAAUCAUGCUCUGAGACAACAGGACUCAGUAAGUGGGAGAAAUAGUGCAUUCAAAAGAGGAGAAAACUAAAUUUUGAUGUUUUAAAAUGCAUUAUUUAUUAACAAUAUGAAUUAAGGAAGCAAACUCUUUCUGUUUUGAUGAAUUAAUACUGGGGAUUAGGGAAAGAACAUAUGAUCACGUGCUGUGUUUGGAAAGCCUGUGGAUGAGCCUGUGACUACUUGCAGGAUAACCUUCAGUAUGCUUUUACCUGCGGUUUACAUAAAAGUUUAUGUCAGGAGAUUUCUUAGUUACAAGACUACAAUGUUAGAAAGGUCAGACGGAGAGUAUUUUACAAUAAAGCAGAGAUGAUUUCUGAAGGUAUCUGCUUUGGGUUUUGGUUUUGUUUUUUUAACGUUGAACAACUAUGAACUGAAGGAGGAAGCUUCUGCCAUCCUACAAGAAGAAAGAUACCUAUUCAGUAUACCAGACACCCCUUGUAAAUGUACUCUCUGAAAACCAAGAAAUCCACCUCAGGAUCAGUAAAUUCUCUGAGUGCCCAUACAUGCUGCACAGUAUCAUGCACACAUAAAAUAUCAAGCCCACUUUCUCAAAUCAGGAUAAUACUUGCAAUACCAGCAACAAGGUGCUUUUCUUCUGUGUUUGAAAGUUUCAGACUUUUAACAGAUCAUUGCCUCAACUGAAUCAGAGAUUCAGGGAAGUGCCGUGAUGAAAGACACACACUGUGCUUCUGAAGAGGAAUUCAGGAAAUGCAACUGCAGCUAGUAUAAAGAACUGCCACCUCUUUGCUUUGGUUAUGUGCAUCCCUAAAUUAGCCAUUAGAUAAUUCUGCCACUUCACUGAACGCUUGCCCAUUCUGCAUUGAAGAUAUUUAUUCUCCCUUGUGCAGGAGGAAAGACUUUAGUGGUAGUUAUGGAAAUAAAAGAGAGAAUAAAGCUCCU
Phalacrocorax carbo (great cormorant) is the source of this 10489-nucleotide non-coding RNA. Lineage: Eukaryota; Metazoa; Chordata; Aves; Suliformes; Phalacrocoracidae. The record is from RefSeq and is a predicted model, not a curated record.